Long non-coding RNA from Hyla sarda, 300 nucleotides. RefSeq lists it as uncharacterized. The record is from RefSeq and is a predicted model, not a curated record. The transcript is spliced from 3 exons. Lineage: Eukaryota; Metazoa; Chordata; Amphibia; Anura; Hylidae.
GAAAAGGCAGCUUUAUGAACUUUGUUCUGAAAAGAUCGAGCCUGAAGGACAAAAGAUAAGAUGAUGUGCAUACUAUCCUCACCAUUUCCUCAGAUCGUCAAGCUGACUGCAUUUAAGAAGCUGAAAACACAAAUUACAUACAAAGAGAAGAUGGAAAUUCAUCAUGAUGGCAGACAAGUAACAGGGCAGAAGACUGGAGCACAAAGGAACAGGCAGGAAAUUUUAUAAGCGAUUUGGACCAGUUUCUUGGUGUAAAUAAAAGAUCAUAAUUUGCGUGUGUCAUUUGUGCAAAGAUUUUUC